AGAGUUUGAUCCUGGCUCAGGACGAACGCUGGCGGUAUGCCUAACACAUGCAAGUCGAACGUGAUCUUCUGUAGUUUUACUAGCACUGAGCGAGAGAAGUGAAAGUGGCGGACGGGUGAGUAACACGUGGGUAACCUGGCCUUUGGAAGGGGAUAACCUCGGGAAACCGGGGCUAAUACCGGAUGAUAGUUGAGAUGUCGCAUGACAUAUCAAUGAAAGAAGGCCUCUCUUUUGAAGCUCCCGCUAAAGGAUGAGCCCGCGGCCCAUUAGCUAGUUGGUAAGGUAAUAGCUCACCAAGGCGACGAUGGGUAGCCGGCCUGAGAGGGCGAACGGCCACACUGGGACUGAGACACGGCCCAGACUCCUACGGGAGGCAGCAGUGGGGAAUAUUGCGCAAUGGGGGCAACCCUGACGCAGCAACGCCGCGUGAAUGAAGAAGGCCUUCGGAUCGUAAAGUUCUGUCAAAGGGGAAGAAGGCUCAUAAGAAAAAAGCUUAUGAGAUGACGGUACCCUUAGAGGAAGCCCCGGCUAACUACGUGCCAGCAGCCGCGGUAAUACGUAGGGGGCAAGCGUUGUCCGGAAUUACUGGGCGUAAAGGGCGUGUAGGCGGUUUUUUAAGUCAGAUGUGAAAAACCGGGGCUCAACUUCGGAAUUGCAUUUGAAACUGGAUAACUUGAGUACUGGAGAGGUAAGUGGAAUUCCUAGUGUAGCGGUGAAAUGCGUAGAUAUUAGGAGGAACACCGGUGGCGAAGGCGACUUUCUGGCUCAAUCCUGACGCUGAGGCGCGAAAGCGUGGGGAGCAAACAGGAUUAGAUACCNUGGUAGUCCACGCCGUAAACGAUGAGCACUAGGUGUAGGAGGUAUCGACCCCUUCUGUGCCGCAGCUAACGCAUUAAGUGCUCCGCCUGGGGAGUACGGUCGCAAGAUUGAAACUCAAAGGAAUUGACGGGGGCCCGCACAAGCGGCGGAGCAUGUGGUUUAAUUCGACGCAACGCGAAGAACCUUACCAGGUCUUGACAUUUCCUGAUGAUCGCAGAGAUGCGAAGUUCCCUUCGGGACAAGAGGACAGGUGGUGCAUGGUUGUCGUCAGCUCGUGUCGUGAGAUGUUGGGUUAAGUCCCGCAACGAGCGCAACCCCUGUAUUUAGUUGCUAGCAGGUCAAGCUGAGGACUCUAUAUAGACUGCCAUAGAUAAUACGGAGGAAGGUGGGGAUGACGUCAAAUCAUCAUGCCCCUUAUGACCUGGGCUACAAACGUGCUACAAUGGACUGAACAAAGGGCUGCCAAGUCGUGAGAUGGAGCUAACCUAUUAAAACUGUUCUCAGUUCGGAUUGAAGUCUGCAACUCGCCUGCAUGAAGUCGGAGUCGCUAGUAAUCGCGGAUCAGCAUGCCGCGGUGAAUGCGUUCCCGGGCCUUGUACACACCGCCCGUCACACCACGAGAGUCGGCAACACCCGAAGUAAGUGGCCUAACCAGUUUACGGAAGGAGCCGCCGAAGGUGAUAUCAGCGACUGGGGUGAAGUCGUAACAAGGUAGCCG
This 1537-nucleotide ribosomal RNA is filed under the name uncultured bacterium. Its description in RNAcentral is "bacterial SSU rRNA". It matches the Rfam family "Bacterial small subunit ribosomal RNA". The record is from RNAcentral.